RNAcentral lists this ribosomal RNA (460 nucleotides) under uncultured bacterium. RNAcentral describes it as "partial 16S ribosomal RNA". It matches the Rfam family "Bacterial small subunit ribosomal RNA", at positions 338 to 795 of the family's 1533-position model. The record is from RNAcentral.
CCUACGGGUGGCAGCAGUGAGGAAUAUUGGUCAAUGGACGCAAGUCUGAACCAGCCAUGCCGCGUGCAGGAAGACGGCUCUAUGAGUUGUAAACUGCUUUUGUACGAGGGUAAACUCAGAUACGCGUAUCUCUCUGCUAGUAUCGUACGAAUAAGGAUCGGCUAACCCCGUGCCAGCAGCCGCGGUAAUACGGAGGAUUCAAGCGUUAUCCGGACUUAUUGGGUUUAAAGGGUGCGUAGGCGGUCGGAUAAGUUAGAGGUGAAAUCCCGAGGCUCAACUUCGGAAUUGCCUCUGAUACUGUUCGGCGAGAGAGUAGUUGAGGUAGGCGGAAUGUAUGGUGUAGCGGUGGAAUGCUUAGAGAUCAUACAGAACACCGAUUGCGAAGGCAGCUUACCAGGCUACUUCUGACGUUGAGGCACGAAAGCGUGGGGAGCAAACAGGAUUAGAUACCCGAGUAGUC